UAUGGAUGGGGCUAGCGCUGUUCGGAAUUACUGGGCGUAAAGGGCGCGUAGGCGGCGUCGUAAGUCAGGCGUGAAAGGCCCGGGCUCAACCCGGGAACUGCGCUUGAUACUGCGGCGCUCGAGUCCGGGAGAGGAUGGCGGAAUUCCCAGUGUAGAGGUGAAAUUCGUAGAUAUUGGGAAGAACACCGGUGGCGAAGGCGGCCAUCUGGACCGGUACUGACGCUAAUGCGCGAAAGCGUGGGGAGCAAACAGG
RNAcentral lists this ribosomal RNA (253 nucleotides) under uncultured bacterium. RNAcentral describes it as "partial 16S ribosomal RNA". It matches the Rfam family "Bacterial small subunit ribosomal RNA", at positions 524 to 776 of the family's 1533-position model. The record is from RNAcentral.